RNAcentral lists this ribosomal RNA (525 nucleotides) under uncultured delta proteobacterium. RNAcentral describes it as "bacterial SSU rRNA". It matches the Rfam family "Bacterial small subunit ribosomal RNA", at positions 932 to 1455 of the family's 1533-position model. Lineage: Bacteria; Deltaproteobacteria. The record is from RNAcentral.
GUGGAUCAUGUGGUUUAAUUCGAAGCAACGCGAAGAACCUUACCUGGAUUUGACAUCUCCUGACAGUCCUAGAAAUAGGAUUUCUGUAGUAAUACAGCAGGAAGACAGGUGCUGCAUGGCUGUCGUCAGCUCGUGUGGUGACAUGUUGGGUUAAGUCCCGCAACGAGCGCAACCCCUGUCCUUAGUUGCCAGCAUUCAGUUGGGCACUCUAAGGAGACUGCCGUGGUGAACACGGAGGAAGGUGGGGAUGACGUCAAGUCCUCAUGGCCUUUAUAUCCAGGGCGACACACGUGAUACAAUGGACGGUACAAAGGGAAGCAAAGGGGAAACCUGGAGCCAAUCUCAAAAAGCCGUUCUCAGUUCGGAUUGGAGUCUGCAACUCGACUCCAUGAAGUUGGAAUCGCUAGUAAUCGCGGAUCAGCACGCCGCGGUGAAUACGUUCCCGGGCCUUGUACACACCGCCCGUCACACCAUGGGAGCUGACUCAACCAGAAGACGAUCAGGCUAACCGAAAGGAGGCCUUCG